Molecule: ribosomal RNA, 448 nt
Filed under: uncultured bacterium
Lineage: Bacteria
Description: bacterial SSU rRNA
Rfam family: Bacterial small subunit ribosomal RNA
Source: RNAcentral
UCCCAGACUCCUACGGGAGGCAGCAGUGGGGAAUAUUGCACAAUGGGGGAAACCCUGAUGCAGCGACGCCGCGUGAGUGAAGAAGUAUUUCGGUAUGUAAAGCUCUAUCAGUAGGGAAGAUAAUGACGGUACCUGACUAAGAAGCCCCGGCUAACUACGUGCCAGCAGCCGCGGUAAUACGUAGGGGGCAAGCGUUAUCCGGAUUUACUGGGUGUAAAGGGUGCGUAGGUGGCAGGGCAAGUCAGAUGUGAAAGCCCGGGGCCCAACCCCGGUACUGCAUUUGAAACUGUCCGGCUGGAGUGCAGGAGAGGUAAGCGGAAUCCCUAGUGUAGCGGUGAAAUGCGUAGAUAUUAGGAGGAACACCAGUGGCGAAGGCGGCUUACUGGACUGUAACUGACACUGAGGCACGAAAGCGUGGGGAGCAAACAGGAUUAGAUACCCUCGUAGA